Molecule: long non-coding RNA, 840 nt
Filed under: Apteryx haastii (Great spotted kiwi)
Lineage: Eukaryota; Metazoa; Chordata; Aves; Apterygiformes; Apterygidae
Description: lncRNA (ENSAHAG00000005903.1)
Source: RNAcentral
GGCAGCACCUCGCUUGCCCGCUCUCUUCCCCCGCUUCCUCUCCSUGCCUCCCCGCUCCAUCCCCGCGCGUCGUGUCGCGGCCUCCCCGCUCCCCGGCUUCGCCUGCCUCUUGGCUCCGUUUUUAACCUCCUGCCCGCGAAAGGCUCCUCGGCCUGGCUGCCCUCUGCCCCGGGAGGCGGCCGUGCCCCCCCGGGCGCUUCGGGGGGCCCCGGCUGGGCCCGGGACAAGGGCAAGAGCGCGUCUGGAAGCAGAGGAAGAGUUAGCCGAGGCCUGGCUUAUCCCUUUCUGCACCGGCCCGGCGUCCCUCUGAGCGUGCUGCGGCUGCUGCGGUUUUUUAUAGGCAUAUCCCCCCCCCCCCACACACACACACACACUUCUUUUACACUUUGCAAUAAGAGUAAACCAGCAAGAUCCUAGGGGUUCGCAUGCUUCCUCGGCAAUGAACGCGGCCAGAAGUGGCUACCGCGUCUUCUCGGCAAACUCCACGGCGGCCUGCACCGAGCUGGCAAAGAGGAUCACAGAGAUGUAGUGAUGAAAAYGGACCAGUGGUUUUCUCUAUCUUGUGUCUUUAACACCAAUUUCCGUGCUGGAAAGUCUGGAUUGCAGCUGAGGACUGUUACUUCUUGGAAGGGAGAAGUCCUCAGCGCGGAUAAUCCCCGUGAAGCUGACUGUGCUGUUUGUCCGGGAUCGCUGGUGUUGAUGGGACGGAUGGAGGGGACCACCGACGAGCUGAGCCCUCUUUGGAUGAGAGGUUGCAAAAGAUGCGUGACUGCUGCCUUUCCCCCCGUGCCACAUCCCAGCGUGUACUUUGCUGGGGAGGGCAGUUGCACCCUAAAAUAG